Molecule: long non-coding RNA, 1110 nt
Organism: Oncorhynchus tshawytscha (Chinook salmon)
Lineage: Eukaryota; Metazoa; Chordata; Actinopteri; Salmoniformes; Salmonidae
Source: Ensembl
GCUCAUGGUCUCCUGAUUCCAGAUGGCCUUCUCGGUGGAUUCCAGAUGGCCUGCUCACGGUCUCCUGAUUCCAGAUGGCCUGCUCACGGUCUCCUGAUUCCAGAUGGCCUGCUCACGGUCUCCUGAUUCCAGAUGGCAUGCUCACGGUCUCCUGAUUCCAGAUGGCCUGCUCACAGUCCCCUGAUUCCAGAUGGCCUGCUCACAGUCUCCUGAUUCCAGAUGGCCUGCUGACAGUCUCCUGAUUCCAGAUGGCCUGCUCACAGUCUCUUGAUUCCAGAUGGCCUGCUCAUGGUCUCCUGAUUCCAGAUGGCCUGCUCGGUGGAUUCCAGAUGGCCUGCUCAUAGUCUCCUGAUUUCAGAUGGCCUGCUCACGGUCUCCUGAUUCCAGAUGGCCUGCUCACGGUCUCCUGAUUCCAGAUGGCCUGCUCACGGUCUCCUGAUUCCAGAUGGCCUGCUCACGGUCUCCUGAUUCCAGAUGGCAUGCUCACGGUCUCCUGAUUCCAGAUGGCCUGCUCACAGUCCCCUGAUUCCAGAUGGCCUGCUCACAGUCUCCUGAUUCCAGAUGGCCUGCUGACAGUCUCCUGAUUCCAGAAGGCCUGCUCACGGUCUCCUGAUUCCAGAUGGCCUGCUCAUGGUCUACUGAUUCCAGAAGGCCUGCUCAUGGUUUCCUGAUUCCAGAUGGCCUGCUCAUGGUCUCCUGAUUCCAUAUGGCCUGCUCACGGUCUCCUGAUUCCAGAUGGCCUGCUCACGGUCUCCUGAUUCCAGAUGGCCUGCUCACAGUCUCUUGAUUCCAGAUGGCCUGCUCAUGGUCUCCUGAUUCCAGAUGGCCUGCUCGGUGGAUUCCAGAUGGCCUGCUCAUAGUCUCCUGAUUUCAGAUGGCCUGCUCACGGUCUCCCGAUUCCAGAUGGCCUGCUCACGGUCUCCUGAUUCCAGAUGGCCUUCUCGGUGGAUUCCAGAUGGCCUGCUCACGGUCUCCUGAUUCCAGAUGGCCUGCUCACGGUCUCCUGAUUCCAGAUGGCCUGCUCACGGUCUCCUGAUUCCAGAUGGCAUGCUCACGGUCUCCUGAUUCCAGAUGGCCUGCUCACAGUCCCCUGAUUCCAGAUGGCCUGCU